AACAUACCUAAACGUUGCUUCGGCGGGAACAGACGGCCCCGUAACACGGGCCGCCCCCGCCAGAGGACCCCCUAACUCUGUUUCUAUCAUGUUUCUUCUGAGUAAACAAGCAAAUAAAUUAAAACUUUCAACAACGGAUCUCUUGGCUCUGGCAUCGAUGAAGAACGCAGCGAAAUGCGAUAAGUAAUGUGAAUUGCAGAAUUCAGUGAAUCAUCGAAUCUUUGAACGCACAUUGCGCCCGCCAGUAUUCUGGCGGGCAUGCCUGUUCGAGCGUCAUUACAACCCUCAGGCCCCCGGGCCUGGCGUUGGGGAUCGGCGGAGCCCCCUGCGGGCACACGCCGUCCCCCAAAUACAGUGGCGGUCCCGCCGCAGCUUCCAUUGCGUAGUAGCUAACACCUCGCAACUGGAGAGCGGCGCGGCCACGCCGUAAAACACCCAACUUCUGAA
Molecule: unclassified non-coding RNA, 447 nt
Filed under: Fusarium kuroshium
Lineage: Eukaryota; Fungi; Ascomycota; Sordariomycetes; Hypocreales; Nectriaceae
Description: sequence contains 18S rRNA gene, ITS1, 5.8S rRNA gene, ITS2, 28S rRNA gene
Rfam family: 5.8S ribosomal RNA (bases 123-276)
Source: RNAcentral